Long non-coding RNA from Sander lucioperca (pikeperch), 684 nucleotides. RefSeq lists it as uncharacterized. The transcript is spliced from 2 exons. The record is from RefSeq and is a predicted model, not a curated record. Lineage: Eukaryota; Metazoa; Chordata; Actinopteri; Perciformes; Percidae.
GAAGGCCAACGGCUCCUCCGACGGACACGGAACACACCGAACAGACUCGAGUCACCGACCUCGCCAGACUGUCCGACGGCCGAUUAUCUGGUUGGUGUGUCGGCGCCUUGAGGCGGCCUUAAAUGCAGCUGAAUUCUCCCGGGCAGGGUUGGUUGGCUUUUUCUUUUUGGAUGUGCAUUGAUUAUUUACAUUCAUCACUUUCAUUGUUUUUGUUUAUGUUCAAGGUAACGUUGAAACUGGGUGGCAGGGUAGUCUUUAUUACUCACUGCACACACUGUAUUCUCAGAGCACGGCUUGUUGAGCGGGACGUACUUCUUCCCUUUACUCUGGCUCAAAGGGCUUCGCAUAGAGCCGAGUCGACACGUGACCACACGUAUCAGAUGGACAGGUCUUUAGAGAUGGACGCUCUUUGUGUCGGGAUGCUGGAAAACCGCUCGCAGGCUGCUCGGGGGGGCUGCUUACGGCUCACACUGCUGGGAAGUGAGAGGAAUGUGUUAAGAAUAACGGCUCACACAUAUAACGUGUCGCUGUUUCGCACUUAAAAAGAAAAGGAAAUCCAAAAAAAAAAAAAAAAGAAACUGCAUCUCCUCAAUUCUUUUGUAACGAUUCUGUCUGCACCUCUGGAAUGGAAAUCAUGUUGUGAAAUGUUGGUAUCAAUAAUUAAAGAGGCUUUCUAAACUGCUA